AUGGAAGGACUCCUGCAUUGGAAUUUUUUCCCUGGCCUAGCCCUUGUAGAUCAGGUGAGAAGAAAGAAUGGUUCCACAGUGCACUUCUCCCCCUAUCAAGACUCUAAGGAGUUCUUCCUUGUGGUUACGUUUUCGUCGGCUUCCUUCCCACUCAACGAAGAAUCGAUGGGUAUUGCUCUCCAAUGUUGCAUUGGGAGUUUUAGUGUUGGCUUCAAAGUGCUUAAGAUUAACCCCCGAGCUUUUCGCUUCUCGGUUGCCAACAACAAGGUGGGACAUUUCAUCUACGGUCUUAAGGACCGCAUUUGGACGGAUUUCAUUUGCCAUUUUCAUCUGUUCAACGGCCGUUUCAAUCUUGUUCCCUCGUCUACUUUGAGUUGGCAUGCGGAUGAAGAAUUAUUGGAGAUAACUGCAAGACAUCCCCUGGCUAUUAAAUCGGAUUUGGGGUUUCUGAAAUCUCAGUGA
Molecule: ribosomal RNA, 462 nt
Filed under: Triticum aestivum (bread wheat)
Lineage: Eukaryota; Viridiplantae; Streptophyta; Magnoliopsida; Poales; Poaceae
Description: partial small subunit ribosomal RNA
Source: RNAcentral